This 73-nucleotide transfer RNA is filed under the name archaeon. RNAcentral describes it as "tRNA-Glu". It matches the Rfam family "tRNA". Rfam says of the family: Transfer RNA (tRNA) molecules are approximately 80 nucleotides in length. Their secondary structure includes four short double-helical elements and three loops (D, anti-codon, and T loops). The record is from RNAcentral.
GCUCUUGUAGUCUAGUGGUCAAGGACAGCGCCCUCUCGCGGCGCAAACCCGGGUUCAAAUCCCGGCAGGAGCA